AAUCCUUCACCUUCCGCCAAAUUGCUUCAUAGCUCGAGUGGUAGAGCGCAGGAAAGUUUCGAGAGAACAAGGUGCCUGAGGUCACUGGU
RNAcentral lists this transfer RNA (89 nucleotides) under Salmonella phage FSL SP-063. RNAcentral's name for it is "tRNA-Ser". The record is from RNAcentral. Lineage: Duplodnaviria; Heunggongvirae; Uroviricota; Caudoviricetes; Pantevenvirales; Ackermannviridae.